UGGUGGAGUAUAAGUUUAACAAAACGGUGGAAGUUAUCAGUUAACCGAGUUCACUCUUCAACUUCACUCCAUCGGUUCGAAUCGCUUCCCCAAAUUUCACCGAAGAUUCUCUCACAUCUAAGUUCGUUUGAAAUCAUACACAAUCUCUUGAAUCCAAGAUUUCAAUCGUUUUCUUUGCGUAUAUUUUGAAUUCAUUUUUACUUCAAAUCUGAAAGGUAUUCUCUAUUGCUUUCAUUUUCUGAUAGGAUUUUUAUUUGUAUUUUCAGAUUCAAUUUGAGGUUAUGCUCCAAAUCUGAAAGGUAUUCUCAAUUUCUUCAACUAUUAGGUUUCAAUUUCUUGUUGUUACUUCCUUCCAAGAUUAUUCACAUUUUGUUGCAUUAAAUUAAAUGAGCUAUGAAGUACAUAGAAAUUUUUAUUUUUGAGUACUAUUAAUUUACCAGUUGGGGAGAACCUAUUUUAUAAGUUUAUGAUAAUCUGGAAUUUAACUAUAAGUAAAACCUAUUAAUUAUUGGUUGUUAUUGUUAACAAUUGUAAGAAAUGCAUAGUACUGAUAUAAUGAAUUGAAAGUUGUGUACACAAUAUCAAUUGGGGAUAGAUUUGGAAAAAAUUAACUAAUGUUGGUUUAAAAAUAUAAAACGACAUUUAUUUUGAAAUAAGUUUUUGUUGCUCAAGUGACAAUUAUUUUAGAACAUAGUCCCGUGAACUUAGCUCAGUUGGCAGAGACUUUGCAUUAUAUAUGCAGGGGGCCGGGGUUCGAACCUCAUUCAUCCCGUGAAUUUCUAGCCAUUAGACUACUUGACAAAAAAAAAAAUUAGAAUGGAAAGAGAAACAUGCUAGAGCUUAUAACUUAUCAUUCAUUUGAAGGUUUCUUUGUCACAGUAGUUCACUUUUAUUAAAUUACUUUCAUUUUGUUUUUUAUUCGGCAACAAAGAGCUAGAUGGAACAUAACAAACACAUCAACACAAAAAAAAGCUACAAAAGAUGGCACAACCCAAAACAAAAGACAUAAACCUGUCAAUAACAAAGAA
Molecule: long non-coding RNA, 1028 nt
Filed under: Trifolium pratense (red clover)
Lineage: Eukaryota; Viridiplantae; Streptophyta; Magnoliopsida; Fabales; Fabaceae
Description: long non-coding RNA (TPRA_LNC005620)
Source: RNAcentral